RNAcentral lists this ribosomal RNA (252 nucleotides) under uncultured bacterium. RNAcentral describes it as "partial 16S ribosomal RNA". It matches the Rfam family "Bacterial small subunit ribosomal RNA", at positions 524 to 776 of the family's 1533-position model. The record is from RNAcentral.
UACGUAGGUCCCGAGCGUUGUCCGGAUUUAUUGGGCGUAAAGCGAGCGCAGGUGGUUUAUUAAGUCUGGUGUAAAAGGCAGUGGCUCAACCAUUGUAUGCAUUGGAAACUGGUAGACUUAAGUGCAGGAGAGGAGAGUGGGAUUCCAUGUGUAGCGGUGAAAUGCGUAGAUAUAUGGAGGAACACCGGUGGCGAAAGCGGCUCUCUGGCCUGUAACUGACACUGAGGCUCGAAAGCGUGGGGAGCAAACAGG